UCUGGUUGAUCCUGCCAGUAGUCAUAUGCUUGUCUCAAAGAUUAAGCCAUGCAUGUCUAAGUAUAAAUAGUAUACAGUGAAACUGCGAAUGGCUCAUUAGAACAGUUAUAGUUUAUUUGAUAAUUGACAAUUACAUGGAUAACCGUGGUAAUUCUAGAGCUAAUACAUGCUUAAACGCCCGACUUUAUGGAAGGGUGGUAUUUAUUAGACUGAAGCCAAUAUUCCUUGUGUCUAUUGCGGUGAUUCAUAAUAACUGAUCGAAUCUCUUUUUGAGAUAAAUCAUUCAAGUUUCUGCCCUAUCAGCUUUCGAUGGUAGUGUAUUGGACUACCAUGGCAGUAACGGGUAACGAAGAAUUAGGGUUCGAUUUCGGAGAGGGAGCAUGAGAAACGGCUACCACAUCUAAGGAAGGCAGCAGGCGCGUAAAUUACCCAAUCCUGACUCAGGGAGGUAGUGACAAGAAAUAGCAAACCGGGAACCUCAUGGUUUCACGGUAUUGCAAUGAGAACAAUUUAAAACCCUUAGCGAGAAUCAAGUGGAGGACAAGUCUGGUGCCAGCACCCGCGGUAAUUCCAGCUCCACUAGCGUAUAUUAAAGUUGUUGCAGUUAAAAAGCUCGUAGUUGAACCUCUGUCUGGGGCUAGUUUUGGCUUUGGUCAGGCUAGUUCUAGGCAUCCGCCUACAAGACUUAGAGGGCAUUCAGUUGUUCACUAGGAGGAGUAGGCAUUUUACUUUGAAAAAAUUAGAGUGUUUAAGGCAGGCAAUCGCCCGCAUAUAUUAGCAUGGAAUAAUAGAAUAGGACACUUUUCCAUUUCGUUGGUUAUUGGAAUCGUGUAAUGAUUAAUAGGGACAGUUGUGGGCAUUUGUAUUUAAUUGUCAGAGGUGAAAUUCUUGGAUUUAUUAAAGACAAACUAACGCGAAAGCAUUUGCCAAGGAUGUUUUCAUUAAUCAAGAACGAAAGUUAGGGGAUCAAAGACGAUCAGAUACCGUCCUAGUCUUAACUAUAAACUAUUCCGACUCAAUGUUUGACUGGCUUAUAUAACCAGUUGAGCGUUGUAUGAGAAAUCAAAGUCUUUAGGUUCUGGGGUGAGUAUGGUUGCAAAGCUGAAACUUAAAGGAAUUGACGGAAGAGCACAACCAGGAGUGGAUUCUGCGGCUUAAUUUGACUCAACACGGGGAAACUUACCAGGUUAAAACAAUAGUGGGAUUGACAGUUUGAGAGCGCUUUCUUGAUUGGUUGGGUGGUGGUGCAUGGCCGUUCUUAGUUGGUGGAGUGAUUUGUCUGCUUAAUUGCGUUAACGAACGAGACCUUAACCUGCUUACUAGAC
RNAcentral lists this ribosomal RNA (1325 nucleotides) under metagenome. RNAcentral describes it as "SSU rRNA". It matches the Rfam family "Eukaryotic small subunit ribosomal RNA", at positions 1 to 1360 of the family's 1831-position model. The record is from RNAcentral.